AAACCUGUUAAAGCAAAUGAGCCGACAAAAAGCAUCACGUGUGUAUUUAAGUACUUGGAAAAAAUAAAACUGUUACUUUUGGCUUAAUUUGGAUUCCUUUCUUUGGACCUCAUGUGGAAAGCAAAAAAAGCUGCAUAUAUUCAAAUCUGAAGUCAAAAUGCUAGUAGACAUUGUUACAACAGGCACAAAAUAUGCUACAUUUUCUCAAACGUCAGAAUCUGUAUAAUUCAGAUAAUGGUGUCACUAAGACAAAGUUAAAU
Molecule: long non-coding RNA, 260 nt
Organism: Etheostoma cragini (Arkansas darter)
Lineage: Eukaryota; Metazoa; Chordata; Actinopteri; Perciformes; Percidae
Exons: 3
Source: RefSeq, a predicted model, not a curated record